RNAcentral lists this ribosomal RNA (460 nucleotides) under uncultured bacterium. RNAcentral's name for it is "partial 16S ribosomal RNA". It matches the Rfam family "Bacterial small subunit ribosomal RNA", at positions 338 to 795 of the family's 1533-position model. The record is from RNAcentral.
CCUACGGGGGGCAGCAGUGAGGAAUAUUGGUCAAUGGACGCGAGCCUGAACCAGCCAAGUAGCGUGAAGGAUGACUGCCCUACGGGUUGUAAACUUCUUUUAUAAAAGAGUAAAGUGAGGCACGUGUGCCUUUUUGUAUGUACUUUAUGAAUAAGGAUCGGCUAACUCCGUGCCGGCAGCCGCGGUAAUACGGAGGAUCCGAGCGUUAUCCGGAUUUAUUGGGUUUAAAGGGAGCGUAGGCGGGGUGAUAAGUCAGUGGUGAAAGUUUGAGGCUCAACCGUAGAAUUGCAAUUGAUACUGGCAGCCUAGAGAACAGUUGCGGUAGGCGGAAUGCGUGGUGUAGCGGUGAAAUGCUUAGAGAUCACGAAGAACACCGAUUGCGAAGGCAGCUUACUAAACUGCCACUGACAUUGAUGCUCGAAAGUGUGGGGAUCAAACAGGAUUAGAUACCCUUGUAGUC